ACCCCAGAGGUCUCCAACCACCAGACCUGACUAAAGAAACAAAAGAUGGAGGUAGAAGAAGAUUGGCCAUGGCUGUACUUUUCUGUGUCUCACUGAUCCUGGUUGGAAUAGGUGGAUGUUUGCUAAUUCAGAAAUACAAG
Molecule: long non-coding RNA, 140 nt
Organism: Archocentrus centrarchus (flier cichlid)
Lineage: Eukaryota; Metazoa; Chordata; Actinopteri; Cichliformes; Cichlidae
Exons: 2
Source: RefSeq, a predicted model, not a curated record